RNAcentral lists this ribosomal RNA (99 nucleotides) under Cutibacterium acnes. RNAcentral's name for it is "partial 16S ribosomal RNA". It matches the Rfam family "Bacterial small subunit ribosomal RNA", at positions 1444 to 1533 of the family's 1533-position model. Lineage: Bacteria; Bacillati; Actinomycetota; Actinomycetes; Propionibacteriales; Propionibacteriaceae. The record is from RNAcentral.
UGGGGGGAGCCGUCGAAGGUGGGACUGGCGAUUGGGACUAAGUCGUAACAAGGUAGCCGUACCGGAAGGUGCGGCUGGAUCACCUCCUUUCUAAGGAGC